Molecule: unclassified non-coding RNA, 335 nt
Filed under: soil metagenome
Description: partial contains 5.8S ribosomal RNA, internal transcribed spacer 2, and large subunit ribosomal RNA
Rfam family: 5.8S ribosomal RNA (bases 3-119)
Source: RNAcentral
GAGAAGAACGUAGCGAAAUGCGAUAAGUAAUGUGAAUUGCAGAAUUCCGUGAAUCAUCGAAUCUUUGAACGCACAUUGCGCCCCCUGGUAUUCCGGGGGGCAUGCCUGUCCGAGCGUCAUUGCAACCUUCAAGCGCGGCUUGUGUGUUGGGUCUCGUCCCCCGUGGACGGGCCCGAAAGGCAGUGGCGGCGUCCCGACAUGGUGCCCGAGCGUAUGGGAAUCCUCUUCCGCUCGAAUCGGCCCAUGCGGCGCUGGUCGUAACCAAAUUUUUUACCGGUUGACCUCGGAUCAGGUAGGGAUACCCGCUGAACUUAAGCAUAUCAAUAAGCGGAGGA